AAUCCAUAGGUUAAUGAGGCGAACCGGGGGAACUGAAACAUCUAAGUACCCCGAGGAAAAGAAAUCAACCGAGAUUCCCCCAGUAGCGGCGAGCGAACGGGGAGGAGCCCAGAGCCUGAAUCAGCAUGUGUGUUAGUGGAAGCGUCUGGAAAGGCGCGCGAUACAGGGUGACAGCCCCGUACACAAAAGCGCAUGUGCUGUGAGCUCGAUGAGUAGGGCGGGACACGUGGUAUCCUGUCUGAAUAUGGGGGGACCAUCCUCCAAGGCUAAAUACUCCUGACUGACCGAUAGUGAACCAGUACCGUGAGGGAAAGGCGAAAAGAACCCCGGCGAGGGGAGUGAAAAAGAACCUGAAACCGUGUACGUACAAGCAGUGGGAGCACAGGUUUACCUGUGUGACUGCGUACCUUUUGUAUAAUGGGUCAGCGACUUAUAUUCUGUAGCAAGGUUAACCGAAUAGGGGAGCCGGAGGGAAACCGAGUCUUAAUUGGGCGUUAAGUUGCAGGGUAUAGACCCGAAACCC
RNAcentral lists this ribosomal RNA (523 nucleotides) under Salmonella enterica subsp. enterica serovar Newport. Its description in RNAcentral is "partial 23S ribosomal RNA". It matches the Rfam family "Bacterial large subunit ribosomal RNA", at positions 161 to 723 of the family's 2925-position model. Lineage: Bacteria; Pseudomonadati; Pseudomonadota; Gammaproteobacteria; Enterobacterales; Enterobacteriaceae. The record is from RNAcentral.